RNAcentral lists this transfer RNA (69 nucleotides) under Marmota marmota marmota (Alpine marmot). It matches the Rfam family "tRNA". Rfam says of the family: Transfer RNA (tRNA) molecules are approximately 80 nucleotides in length. Their secondary structure includes four short double-helical elements and three loops (D, anti-codon, and T loops). RNAcentral also lists the same sequence under 1 other name. The record is from Rfam by way of RNAcentral. Lineage: Eukaryota; Metazoa; Chordata; Mammalia; Rodentia; Sciuridae.
GGUAUUGUGGCUCAGCAGCAGAGCGCUUGCCUAGCAUGCAUGAGUCACUGGGUUCGAUUCUCAGCACCA